Molecule: ribosomal RNA, 468 nt
Filed under: uncultured bacterium
Lineage: Bacteria
Description: partial 16S ribosomal RNA
Rfam family: Bacterial small subunit ribosomal RNA
Source: RNAcentral
GACGAACGCUGGCGGCGUGCUUAACACAUGCAAGUCGAACGGUGAUGCUCCAGCUUGCUGGAGUGGAUCAGUGGCGAACGGGUGAGUAACACGUGAGCAACCUGCCCCAGACUCUGGAAUAAGCGCUGGAAACGGCGUCUAAUACUGGAUACGAAACUGGCCCGCAUGGGCAUGGUUUGGAAAGUUUUUCGGUUUGGGAUGGGCUCGCGGCCUAUCAGCUUGUUGGUGAGGUAAUGGCUCACCAAGGCGACGACGGGUAGCCGGCCUGAGAGGGCGACCGGCCACAAUGGGACUGAGACACGGCCCAGACUCCUACGGGAGGCAGCAGUGGGGAAUAUUGCACAAUGGGCGCAAGCCUGAUGCAGCGACGCCGCGUGAGGGAUGACGGCCUUCGGGUUGUAAACCUCUUUCAGCAGGGAAGAAGCGAAAGUGACGGUACCUGCAGAAGAAGCACCGGCUAACUACGUG